This is a long non-coding RNA of Ctenopharyngodon idella (grass carp), 4650 nucleotides long. RefSeq lists it as uncharacterized. The record is from RefSeq and is a predicted model, not a curated record. Lineage: Eukaryota; Metazoa; Chordata; Actinopteri; Cypriniformes; Xenocyprididae. The transcript has 3 exons.
CAUUCUCAGGAAGUGAAGGUACAGUGUCAGUUUUAUGAACAGACAUUUCUGUGUUGUGAAUAUUGACAGUUGUUAACAAUAUUAUUAUGUUCAUCAAGUCUGAUUCACUGAGUAAUGGUUAGAGAGGCAGAUUUACUCAGACUGCCUAUUUUUAGAUUCACUUUUUUUCCACAUGCUUUACCAGUUUCAAACGAUUCAAAAGUUUUUUUUUUUUUUUUCGCUUUUUGUUUUUUAGAUAUGCUUAUGUUAUUUAUUCUGAAUAAUAGGAGUUAUGUAAGCAACUUCACCUCUUAAGAUUUUCUCACCUAUCAAUUGAAAUUGGUAUGUUGCUCUUUAAGACUGAUCUCCGAUGAUUUUGUCAAUUCAUAUUGUUACAUGUUGUAUUGUGGAUGAGCAUAUAAACAGUGUCUGAGUAUUGCUCUGUAAACAACUGUCAGAGAAACGUUACCCAACAGGAAGUCGCUAAACAGAGAGUGUGGUCACCACUGGUAACCGUUAAUAAAACCACAGUUAGUUCCAAAACACAGCCAAAUAGACAAAAGGAGAGGUCAGUGUUGUCAUCAGACAAAUAUUAAGCAUUCAGUUGCCUGGCACUGGAAAAAGUUCUUCUCUCCUCAGAUGGUCAUGAUGUCUAAGCCAACGAUUUUGCAUUAUCACUAAGUCAUGUUAGCUAUUUCUAGCCUCCUUUAUAACUAUACUUACGUUCUUAAAGAGUCAUGUGUGUAAUAAAGCUUUAACUUCAUAAAAUAAUGAAUUAUUAAUUAUUUGUUGAGGAGCUCUAGAGUUGCAAAAGCACAGUGACUGCAUGUACAGCCCUGCAUGAGUCACUUUCGUGACAAGUUUCCUUUGAAUGCAAUAACCAGGAACUUUAUGGCCCAGGUAGCCUGUACUUCAUUCUCUGUGUUCGCUCCGUCUUACACACAGUUGAGUGCACAAGUCUUUCAAAGUCUACUCCUUUGGCUGUGAGUAGGGACUUUGUUUUUAAGUCGCUCAAGUCAUUUGCACAUGUGCUCUUAGAAUGGAUUAAAACAUUAUCAUUAGCGUUAACAUGAAGUUUCCAUAAUAAUACCAUACAUACUGUUACAUUUAAUGCUUAUCAAAAAUAUCUUAAUUUGUGUUCUGAAGAUGAACGAAAGUCUUACGGGUAUGGAUUGACAUGAGGCAAAGGAAAGAAAUUCGUACCGGUUUGGAACAACUUGAGGCUAGACAUCUCUUGGUUGUUAAAAUGAAGUUGUACAGACAUGCAUGCUGAGAAGAAGUGAACACGGGCAGGUGUCUUGACUGACAGCACAAAAGCCAGGGUUUGAGUCCCGGCAGAGAUGGGCUUUGAAUGCCUUUGGUCAACAUUGUGCUCUUCAGCCAGGAGCCCAGUUUUCAGGGCUACAAUCCCUGAAAGCAGUUUAGUUCACUAUGUACCUGAUGCAUGACAGACAAACUGAUAAAAUUGUAUGUAUAGUUUUUAGGUCAGGAACCCCAUGGUGGAUAGAAACAGAAUAGGGAGUGUUGUAGUACCAUAUUAUCUAACUAGUACCAUAUUAUAUUAUUACCAUAUUUCCAUCAAUUUUGUUUUUACUCUGUAUACCUGGUGAUACUAUUGUCUCAUGUUUACUGUUGUCUUACUGUUACUACUAUGUCACUGUUGUUGUCAGCAGUAUGAUUUUUAUCAGCUGUGGGCGCGAUAUAUGAAUAUAGAAAAUGAAACGAUGGAAAAAAUAUAAUGAAACUAAAACUGUUAAAUAUAGUUAUAAAUUUCGGCUACUGGAUAUGGUUAUGGGUUGGGUUAGGGUGUGGUUUGACCUUCUACAUCUACCCAUUACACCCAGAUUACAUCCAGAGAGGGGGAACUGGACAUCCAGGAUGGGGGAGCUGGAUAUCACACUCCACCCAUUGGCUCUGCAGUGAGCAGCCUCUUAUAAAAAGUGAUAGAAAUUACAAACAUGCCUGAUGUGCAAGACCAACAGUUAAGUAGAGAUGUUUAGAUAAAGAGGUUUGAGUGAUUAAUAAUCAGUAUCUAACCUGACGAAAACAUAUUUAUUCAAUGUUAUCCACAUUAUAUUUCAUCUGCAACAGCAUUGUGAACUUUUAUAAAGAUGUGUUUGGUUAUUAACUUUUAAAUGCAUCCUUAACACAUGAAGGGAGUUCUCCACAUGAAAGACCCAUGACUAGCAGGUCAAUAUGCUACUACAUUUUCUCAGAUAUGGUAGGAAAUUAAAUUAAAUUGAAUGUGGAGGAUUUUAACUGUGACAAGAUGAUUGACAGGGCAGUUUAAACAGUGACAGGAUUCACGUAACUAAGUGAAACAGCGGUCCAUUAAAGACGCAAUGAUGGUGAAGUAGCAUGUCCCAAAGCUUGCAUACUCUUCUGCUAGCUACACACUCAGAAGUAUGUACUUUUUCUUCACAAAAACAUACUUAAGGGCAUAUAAGUAGGUGAAUUGAAGCACAGCAUUAGACAACAAAUGCAAACAUACUUAGAAACCAUGACAACGAAGGAAACAGAAAGGAAAAACAGGAAACAAUAAGAAAUAAAUUAGAGGUCCAUGAAACACGAAACAGAAACUACACAUUACAGUUGUUUCCUUAAAGGAACUGUUUAGUUUGCAUUGCAUUGUGCUAAAAGUGAAAAGGUUGACUUUGACUUUGAUAUUAAUGUACUUGCAUACUUUGUUUUGAUGCUCACAUUAAAAAGCCAUUAAAAUACUUAUUACUGUGCUAUUAUGUUUUGAUUUUACUACAUUGUAAUGUGAGAAAGGCAAUGAAACAUCUGAUCUUUAACAUUAGCGUUGGUUGAAGUACAUUGUAAUUUUGUUUAAUGGAUAUUUUAAUUAGUUUACAAACAUGAGUUCAAACAGUAAUUGGUAGACUCCCUGCAGUACUGCUCCGGACCCCCUGUUGAACACCCCUGAUGUAAGGAGGUAAUCCUGAUUCUACAUAUAGGAGCUUAUGCUCAUGUGUGUAUUACAUCAUGGCAGCACUGAGAAUCAUUUGAUUACGAUUGUACAUGUGGAAGAUUAUCAUGAUGAAACAGUCAUUGUGUGACUGUUUUGAAAAGCAGCCUGAGCACACAGUUGCAUCAUAGUUUUAUUAGAAUAGAUCCAGCACCACAUUCAUAAAUAAUGAACAAUUCAUGUCAGUGUCAUACGGUGAUCACCUAUUGCAAAUAAAUAUUUCAUGCGACCUCCACGACAUGAUGGUGAAGGCUUUGAAUUUCUUUUAAACAAACAACCAUUUUAAACAUGAUCUAUUAUUGUUGCUUUAGGUGUUUCACUGAAGUAUAGUCAAGUCAAGUCAAGUCACCUUUAUUUAUAUAGCGCUUUUUACAAUGUAGAUUGUGUCAAAGCAGCUUUACAUUGAUAUCUGGUACAUUGUUUGACUGCACAGCAGCUCUUAAAGAAUAGUGUCAAUGCAGGCAGAUCAAAAGCACUGUUGAAUAUCAAAAUGUCAAGUCAAGUGUCCCCAACUAAGCAAGCCAGAGGCGACAGCGGCAAGGAACCCAAACUCCAUCAGGUGACAUCAGGUGGCAGACAAGUGGCAAAUUGGUGUUAAAAUGGAGAAAAAAACCUUGGGAGAAACCAGGCUUAGUCGGGGUGCCAGUUCUCCUCUGGCCAACAGUGCUUUGUUACAAUUCAGGUUGCUAUCAUAAGUCCAAUAGGAUCGCAACAUUAAAAGUAUUUAUUUCAGUUCCAUCCAAUUGAGGAUCGUAUUCAUCACGCCGGUAUGGACGGUUGUUGAGGAACUGUGUCGUGGCUGUCGUGUCGAUGAGGCCUUCACAGGGGAUGAUCUAGUUGACUCAAUCUCUGCUGAUACUUCAGGGCUGCGUUGUGGUCGUGUCAAGGUGCAGGUCCUUGGUCUCACCUGGAUACGGCCCGGAUCCGGUUGACUACGGUGAACCUCGGGAUAAACAGAAAGACUAAUAUUAGCGUAGAUGCCAUUCUUCUUCUGAUGUAACGAGUACAUCAGGUGUUAUAGGAAGUGUUCCCGGUUCCGGUUGACCUAAUUUAUGCAGCCUAAUAAUCCUUUAACGGAUUUGGAAAUAUAAAUUGGUAAUGUGUUAUGUGUAUGCCAGGUUAAAGAGAUGCGUUUUUAGUCUAGAUUUAAACUGACAGAGUGUGUCUGCUUCCCGAACAAUGCUAGGAAGAUUGUUCCAGAGUUUAGGUGCCAAAUAGGAGAAGGAUCUACCACCUGCAGUUGAUUUUGAUAUUCUAGGUAUUAUCAGCUGGCCUGAAUUCUGAGAUCGCAAUAGACGUGAAGGACUAUAAUGAAUUAGGAGCUCGCUCAGGUACUGGGGAGCUAAACCAUUUAGUGCUUUGUAAGUAAUUAGCAAGAUUUUAAAAUCUAUACGAUGUUUAACAGGAAGCCAAUGCAGUGUUGACAGAACUGGGCUAAUAUGGUCAUACUUCCUGGUUCUAGUAAGAACUCUAGCUGCUGCAUUUUGUACGAGCUGUAGUUUAUUUAUCAGGCGAGCAGAACAACCACCCAGUAGAGCGUUACAGUAAUCUAGCCUUGAGGUCAUGAACGCAUGAACUAACUGUUCUGCAUUUUUCAUUGAGAGCAUAUGUCGUAGUUUAGAUAUAUUUUUAAGAUGGUAUACAGUAAAUCUCCUUUGGGCUAUAGUUUUUAGCAUGAUCUGAACCUGUGAGUCUGUCUCUGU